AACAGGUCACACCUCACCACCCAUAUUGAUCAGGUCACACCUCCCCACCCAUAUUGAUCAGGUCACAUCUCACCCCUCCAUAUUGAUCAGGUCACACCUCACCAUCCAUAUUGGUCCAGUCACACCGCACCAUCAUAUCAAUCAGGUCACAUCUCACCACCCAUAUUGAUCAGAUCACAUCUCACCCUACCCAUAUUGAUCAGGUCACACCUCACCACGCAUAUUAAUCAGGUCACACCUCACCACCCAUAUUAGUCAGGUCACACCUCCCCACCCAUAUUAAUCAGGUCACACCUCACCAUCAUAUCAAUCAGGACACACCUCACCACCCAUAUUAAUCAGGUCACAC
Molecule: long non-coding RNA, 349 nt
Organism: Oncorhynchus tshawytscha (Chinook salmon)
Lineage: Eukaryota; Metazoa; Chordata; Actinopteri; Salmoniformes; Salmonidae
Source: Ensembl